This 376-nucleotide ribosomal RNA is filed under the name uncultured Anoxybacillus sp. RNAcentral describes it as "bacterial SSU rRNA". It matches the Rfam family "Bacterial small subunit ribosomal RNA", at positions 1007 to 1382 of the family's 1533-position model. The record is from RNAcentral. Lineage: Bacteria; Bacillati; Bacillota; Bacilli; Caryophanales; Anoxybacillaceae.
GGGCGGUUCCCCUUCGGGGGACAGGGUGACAGGUGGUGCAUGGUUGUCGUCAGCUCGUGUCGUGAGAUGUUGGGUUAAGUCCCGGCAACGAGCGCAACCCUCGACCUUAGUUGCCAGCAUUCAGUUGGGCACUCUAAGGUGACUGCCGGCUAAAAGUCGGAGGAAGGUGGGGAUGACGUCAAAUCAUCAUGCCCCUUAUGACCUGGGCUACACACGUGCUACAAUGGGCGGUACAAAGGGUCGCGAACCCGCGAGGGGGAGCCAAUCCCAAAAAGCCGCUCUCAGUUCGGAUUGCAGGCUGCAACUCGCCUGCAUGAAGCCGGAAUCGCUAGUAAUCGCGGAUCAGCAUGCCGCGGUGAAUACGUUCCCGGGCCUU